This 131-nucleotide small RNA is filed under the name Salmonella enterica. RNAcentral describes it as "RtT sRNA". It matches the Rfam family "RtT RNA". From Rfam's summary of the family: This family represents a bacterial cis-regulatory element known as RtT RNA. The exact function of RtT is unknown although it is thought that it may be involved in changing the cellular response in relation to amino acid starvation. Lineage: Bacteria; Pseudomonadati; Pseudomonadota; Gammaproteobacteria; Enterobacterales; Enterobacteriaceae. The record is from RNAcentral.
CUUUUUUGCUAUCUGCGAUUUAUAAGACCCGAACCUGCCGCAGGUUCGGGUCGAACGCAGUGAGACAACGGAGCCGUUUACGGCGACGGCCCGAAGGGCGAGCAAAGCGAGUCAUCCUGCACGACCCACCA